ACAGAGACUGCAAGCGUUAUUCGGAUUCACUGGGCGUAAAGGGUGCGCAGGCGGUUAUGUGUGUUGGAUGUGAAAGCCCGAGGCUCAACCUCGGAAUUGCGUCCAAAACUACAUGACUAGAGUACCGGAGAGGAUAGCGGAAUUCACGGUGUAGCAGUGAAAUGCGUAGAUAUCGUGAAGAACACCAGCGGCGAAGGCGGCUAUCUGGAAGGUAACUGACGCUCAGGCACGAAAGCGUGGGGAGCAAAAGGGAUUAGAUACCCCUGUAGUCCACGCCCUAAACGGUGCACACUAGGUGUUAGCGGAUUCGACCCCGUUAGCGCCCAAGCUAACGCGUUAAGUGUGCCGCCUGAGGACUACGGCCGCAAGGCUA
Molecule: ribosomal RNA, 373 nt
Filed under: uncultured bacterium
Lineage: Bacteria
Description: bacterial SSU rRNA
Rfam family: Bacterial small subunit ribosomal RNA
Source: RNAcentral